GCCACGCCUCCGCCCCCACGCCGGUCGAUCCGCACGCCUCCCACCGCCGCCCGACGCCGACCAGGGCUUCCUCCGAUUGAUCCCCACCCCGUUCCACCGCCGCCCAACGCCAUCGAUCUUGCCCCUCCAGCCGUGGUGAAGCACUCCCCGGAGGCGCUGCUGCUCGUGGUGUCCAACCCCGUCGACGUCCUCGCCUACCUCGCCUUGAAGCUUCCAGGGUUGUGUUCGAGGUGAGCGGCGACAUCUGCUCCGGUACCAACCUCGAUGUCCCCAGGAUCUGGUUCCUCAUCAACGAGCCCUCCUCCAUCAACGCGCAGGACGUGCAGGAUUCCCAGCCCACCCCAGCAUCCCCUUCAACCCCAAACCGGUUUACUGUUGCGCCUCUGCAACCUUACAGGCUGCCACACUCGAUGCAGCAGCUAGCAGCAGGGCCCAUUGUCGUCACCGUGCAUCCCAGGUUCAUCUGCUUGCUGCUGUUUCGGCCAUCGCUGAAACCAACCAGGAGUUAGUGGCCUCAAAGCACCAAGCUCAAGCGCCUCUCCUUCAUCAGGUAAAAUAUCAACCUGAAAAUCGUCUAGGAAGCAGGGUACAUCCCCAAGAGCCCCAAUUGCAGGGCGAACCUGGGCACCCCAGGUCAUUUACUUAGAAGAUGAGCACUCCACCAGGCUGUUUGUAGUAAACAACUUUGGCGAUGCUCACGACAGGCAGUGACGCUAUGUGAUGGUGUCGAGCGUUGGGUAGGAAAGCAGAACAUCAUCAACUCUGCCUCACCUCUUCCACUAGUGUUGUCCGAUGAUGUUCAAGCUGGAGGAUGUUCUGCAAUGAGAUGUAGAAUGAAGGCUUUGAUGUCAAGUACAAGAAAGAUGCAAGGAUGUUGGUGGAAGGCUGUGAGGAUGGGUAUGUAGUUGCCCACUACAAGGAGCCAAGGCAGAUGAUGUGCCUCUUAGAAAAAUUCCAGUAAACAACACUAGGAAUUUUUGCUCUCAGACA
Molecule: RNA transcript, 990 nt
Organism: Triticum dicoccoides
Lineage: Eukaryota; Viridiplantae; Streptophyta; Magnoliopsida; Poales; Poaceae
Exons: 5
Source: RefSeq, a predicted model, not a curated record